AGAACGAACGCUGGCGGCAUGCCUAACACAUGCAAGUCGAACGAGACCUUCGGGUCUAGUGGCGCACGGGUGCGUAACGCGUGGGAAUCUGCCCUUGGGUUCGGAAUAACAGUUAGAAAUGACUGCUAAUACCGGAUGAUGACGAAAGUCCAAAGAUUUAUCGCCCAGGGAUGAGCCCGCGUAGGAUUAGCUAGUUGGUGAGGUAAAGCUCACCAAGGCGACGAUCCUUAGCUGGUCUGAGAGGAUGAUCAGCCACACUGGGACUGAGACACGGCCCAGACUCCGUACGGGAGGCAGCGAGGUGGGGAAUAGUUGGACAAGUGGGACGAAAGCCUAGGA
Molecule: ribosomal RNA, 339 nt
Filed under: uncultured soil bacterium
Lineage: Bacteria
Description: bacterial SSU rRNA
Rfam family: Bacterial small subunit ribosomal RNA
Source: RNAcentral